RNAcentral lists this ribosomal RNA (271 nucleotides) under uncultured Dialister sp. RNAcentral describes it as "partial 16S ribosomal RNA". It matches the Rfam family "Bacterial small subunit ribosomal RNA", at positions 85 to 339 of the family's 1533-position model. The record is from RNAcentral. Lineage: Bacteria; Bacillati; Bacillota; Negativicutes; Veillonellales; Veillonellaceae.
AAUGGCUUUAGUGGCGGACUGGUGAGUAACACGUGAGCAACCUGCCUAUCAGAGGGGAAUAACAGACGGAAACGACUGCUAAUACCGAAUAAGUUCCAAGAGCCGCAUGGCCCAUGGAAGAAAAGGUGGCCUCUACCUGUAAGCUAUCGCCUGAAGAGGGGUUUGCGUCUGAUUAGCUGGUUGGAGGGGUAACGGCCCACCAAGGCGACGAUCAGUAGCCGGUCUGAGAGGAUGAACGGCCACACUGGAACUGAGACACGGUCCAGACUCC